Molecule: long non-coding RNA, 2087 nt
Organism: Oncorhynchus tshawytscha (Chinook salmon)
Lineage: Eukaryota; Metazoa; Chordata; Actinopteri; Salmoniformes; Salmonidae
Source: Ensembl
GUAUUUUUGAAGGCACUAACUCCGCCAUGGUUCGUUGGACAAAUGCAUUUCUGUAGGGUUUUUGGAUAAACGCAGAAAAUAAGAUCUGUGCCUCAACACAAUCCUGUCUCGGAGUUCUACAAACGAUUCCUUCGACCUCAUGGCUUGGUUUUUGCUCUGACAUGCACUGUCAACUGUGGGACCUUAUAUAUACAGCACCAGUCAAAAGCAGUCCUACUAAGCGCAAUUGAGAUGGUUUGGGAUGAGUUGGACUGCAGAGUGAAGGAAAAUCAGCCAACAAGUGCUCAGCAUAUGUGAGAACUCAUUCAAGACUGUUGGAAAAGCAUUCUAGGUGAAGCUGGUUGAGAGAAUGCCAAGAAGGUGAAAAGCUGUCAUCAAGGCAAAGGGUGGCUACUUAAACAAAUCAACAUAUAUUUUAGAUUUGUUUAACACUUUUUUGGUUACUACAUGAUUCCAUAUGUAUUUUUUCAUAGUUGUGAUGUCUUCACUAUUAUUCUACAAUUUAGAAAAUAGUACAAACAAAGAAAAACCCUAUAAUGAGUAGGUGUGUCCAAACUGUUGACUGGUACUGUAUAUCUUUUUUUUAUUUGCAAAAUAAAUUAUUAGGUAUUGUGAGGAAAAACAUGUAUUUAAUCAAUUUGAGAAUAAGGCUGUAAUGUAACAAAAUGUGGCAAAAGUCAAGGGGUUUGAAUACUUUCCGAAUGCUGACUAUUUGUCAAAGCAUACCAUAACAGUAAUAUCACAAGCAUAUAGUUACUGUGCUACAUUUUAUGAGAAUGUAUUGCCUUUUGAUUAUGUUGUUUACCUUGAGGUGCAAAAGCUAAGACUUGCAAAGCAAAAAGCAUGGGCUAAGCCUACUGAUGCUUAAACUACAUAAGCAUUACAUAACAGGAAACUCUUGAAUAUGAAACAAAUGUUCUGUUUUCCAAGCGCACACAGCUUUCAAAUUUCCAUUAUCAAUAAUGAGUGGCAUUAUGUGAUAUGGGGAGAAAUGUAAUCAUUUUGCUGUAGUCUGAGUCAACUAAUGGAAAAUAUCCACAAGCGUAUCAGAAGAAGUCUAUUUGCUGUACGUGGCACUUGUGAGUGUGUUUUGUACAGUCGUGUUUUGAUUUCAUUAAUGUUGGAAGUCAAUGAUAACUGUUAUGUGGAAAGCCAUCAUUCACAUACAGCUUUCUGCUGCACUUUUCUAUAUACUUUCUGAUACAGUAUCACCACCUGUUUCCACUCCCCUUCUUCAUCUAAAGAACAUGUUGUUCCCUUAAUUCGUAUAAUAACAUAGAAUACAAAGUACACAUUUAUCCUUUGGAAUGUCAUUAAUCCUCUAAAAGUCAAAGCCAAGGGACGGGGGGACCCCUUUAGGUCUAACAAAAACGAAUAUUAAAAGAUUAUUUAAUAAAAUAUUGAAUUUGGCCUUUACUGCUAUAGCCCAUAGAAAUGCAUUCAAUAACACAUUUAUGAAUGGCAAAAAAAGACUGCAUAAAAAAUCAUAAGGAAUAAGGUUUUGAAACUACCUCCAUAUAUUUCCAUUCAUUUGUAUGAGUUACCUUCAGACGAGUCCCAUGACACUUGUGGGGGUCGUCGAGCAAAACGGAGGAAACCAUCAUAGUAUGUAGGCCAAACGGUUCGGACGCUACAGACGUUUUCGUGGUCUGACGAACACAUAUCUGAUUAAUUAGUCUUCUAAUUAAUCAGAUAUUUUAAUAUUUGAUCAAUUAGUCUUCUAAUUAUGUCACACGCCCUGGUUUUAGUAUUUUGUGUUUUCUUUAUUAUUUUGGUCAGGCCAGGGUGUGACAUGGGUUAUUUAUGUGGUGUGUUUUGUCUUUGGGUUUUUGUAGGUUAUGGGAUUGUGGUAUAGUAUAGUAGUCUAGGAAAAUCUAUGGUUGCCUGGAGUGGUUCUCAAUCAAAGGCAGGUGUUUAUCGUUGUCUCUGAUUGGGAACCAUAUUUAGGUAGCCAUAUUCUUUGAGUGUUUCGUGGGUGAUUGUUCCUGUCUCUGUGUUUGUUUGCACCAGAUAGGGCUGUUUUGGGUUUUCAUGGUUUUUGUAUGCUGUUUGUAUUUUUCAACUUUAUUAAAGAUGUUUACAAAUAA